AUGGAGUAUGAUCAGAAAAAAUAUUUCAUACGGAUGUUUGUUGGGCUGAAGCCUUUGUGCGAUGGAUUCUUGGCUGGCUGCAGACCUUACUUGGCGAUAGAUAGCACUCAUUUGAUAGGCAAGUAUAGAGGCCAAUUAGCUACUGCUUGUGAUAUUGAUGGGCACAAUUGGUUGUACCCUGUAGUCUAUGGAGUUAUCGAUUCGGAAACUACCAAAAGUUGGGUGUGGUUUAUGGAGAAGCUUCAUGAAGCUAUUGGCUCUCCCCAUGGUCUAGCUAUAUGUUCAGAUGUAGGAAAAGGGAUUGACACUGUAAUCGAACAGGUAUUUGGGUAUGCUGAACCUAGAGAAUGCAUGCGACACUUGGUUGUGAACUUCAAGAAAAAAUUCCAUGGUAAAGUUUUUGAUGAUCAUUUGUGGCCAGCUGCUUAUUCAUGGACUCCUCGAGGGUUUGACUAUCACAUGGCAGCCAUAGAGGAGAAAAAGGCAGCUGCAAUAGCAUACUUAAACAAGUACCACAACAGGCUAUGGUCAAGGAGCAAAUAUUCAACCUCCUCAAAAGUGGACAAAUAA
This 570-nucleotide ribosomal RNA is filed under the name Triticum aestivum (bread wheat). Its description in RNAcentral is "partial small subunit ribosomal RNA". The record is from RNAcentral. Lineage: Eukaryota; Viridiplantae; Streptophyta; Magnoliopsida; Poales; Poaceae.